GACGAACGCUGGCGGCGUGCCUAAUACAUGCAAGUUGAGCGCUGAAGGUUGGUACUUGUACCGACUGGAUGAGCAGCGAACGGGUGAGUAACGCGUGGGGAAUCUGCCUUUGAGCGGGGGACAACAUUUGGAAACGAAUGCUAAUACCGCAUAAAAACUUUAAACACAAGUUUUAAGUUUGAAAGAUGCAAUUGCAUCACUCAAAGAUGAUCCCGCGUUGUAUUAGCUAGUUGGUGAGGUAAAGGCUCACCAAGGCGAUGAUACAUAGCCGACCUGAGAGGGUGAUCGGCCACGUUGGGACUGAGACACGGCCCAAACUCCUACGGGAGGCAGCAGUAGGGAAUUUUCGGCAAUGGACGAAAGUCUGACCGAGCAACGCCGCGUGAGUGAAGAAGGUUUUCGGAUCGUAAAACUCUGUUGGUAGAGAAGAACGUUGGUGAGAGUGGAAAGCUCAUCAAGUGACGGUAACUACCCAGAAAGGGACGGCUAACUACGUGCCAGCCGCUGCAGUAA
RNAcentral lists this ribosomal RNA (513 nucleotides) under uncultured bacterium. Its description in RNAcentral is "partial 16S ribosomal RNA". It matches the Rfam family "Bacterial small subunit ribosomal RNA", at positions 28 to 523 of the family's 1533-position model. The record is from RNAcentral.